RNAcentral lists this ribosomal RNA (462 nucleotides) under uncultured bacterium. Its description in RNAcentral is "partial 16S ribosomal RNA". It matches the Rfam family "Bacterial small subunit ribosomal RNA", at positions 34 to 507 of the family's 1533-position model. The record is from RNAcentral.
UCCGCCCGCUGGCGGCGUGCUUAACACAUGCAAGUCGAACGGAAAGGCCCUUCGGGGUACUCGAGUGGCGAACGGGUGAGUAACACGUGGGUGAUCUGCCCUGCACUUUGGGAUAAGCCUGGGAAACUGGGUCUAAUACCGAAUAGGACCACGCGCUUCAUGGUGUGUGGUGGAAAGCUUUUGCGGUGUGGGAUGGGCCCGCGGCCUAUCAGCUUGUUGGUGGGGUAAUGGCCUACCAAGGCGACGACGGGUAGCCGGCCUGAGAGGGUGACCGGCCACACUGGGACUGAGAUACGGCCCAGACUCCUACGGGAGGCAGCAGUGGGGAAUAUUGCACAAUGGGCGCAAGCCUGAUGCAGCGACGCCGCGUGAGGGAUGACGGCCUUCGGGUUGUAAACCUCUUUCAAUAGGGACGAAGCGCAAGUGACGGUACCUAUAGAAGAAGCACCGGCCAACUACGCG